AACGCUGGCGGCGUGCCUAAUACAUGCAAGUCGAACGAUGAAGCUUCUAGCUUGCUAGAGUGCUGAUUAGUGGCGCACGGGUGAGUAACGCAUAGGUCAUGUGCCUCUUAGUUUGGGAUAGCCAUUGGAAACGAUGAUUAAUACCAGAUACUCCCUACGGGGGAAAGAUUUAUCGCUAAGAGAUCAGCCUAUGUCCUAUCAGCUUGUUGGUAAGGUAAUGGCUUACCAAGGCUAUGACGGGUAUCCGGCCUGAGAGGGUGAACGGACACACUGGAACUGAGACACGGUCCAGACUCCUACGGGAGGCAGCAGUAGGGAAUAUUGCUCAAUGGGGGAAACCCUGAAGCAGCAACGCCGCGUGGAGGAUGAAGGUUUUAGGAUUGUAAACUCCUUUUGUUAGAGAAGAUAAUGACGGUAUCUAACGAAUAAGCACCGGCUAACUCCGUGCCAGCAGCCGCGGUAAUACGGAGGGUGCAAGCGUUACUCGGAAUCACUGGGCGUAAAGAGCGCGUAGGCGGGAUAGUCAGUCAGGUGUGAAAUCCUAUGGCUUAACCAUAGAACUGCAUUUGAAACUACUAUUCUAGAGUGUGGGAGAGGUAGGUGGAAUUCUUGGUGUAGGGGUAAAAUCCGUAGAGAUCAAGAGGAAUACUCAUUGCGAAGGCGACCUGCUGGAACAUUACUGACGCUGAUUGCGCGAAAGCGUGGGGAGCAAACAGGAUUAGAUACCCUGGUAGUCCACGCCCUAAACGAUGGAUGCUAGUUGUUGGAGGGCUUAGUCUCUCCAGUAAUGCAGCUAACGCAUUAAGCAUCCCGCCUGGGGAGUACGGUCGCAAGAUUAAAACUCAAAGGAAUAGACGGGGACCCGCACAAGCGGUGGAGCAUGUGGUUUAAUUCGAAGAUACACGAAGAACCUUACCUAGGCUUGACAUUGAGAGAAUCCGCUAGAAAUAGUGGAGUGUCUAGCUUGCUAGACCUUGAAAACAGGUGCUGCACGGCUGUCGUCAGCUCGUGUCGUGAGAUGUUGGGUUAAGUCCCGCAACGAGCGCAACCCCCUUUCUUAGUUGCUAACAGGUUAUGCUGAGAACUCUAAGGAUACUGCCUCCGUAAGGAGGAGGAAGGUGGGGACGACGUCAAGUCAUCAUGGCCCUUACGCCUAGGGCUACACACGUGCUACAAUGGGGUGCACAAAGAGAAGCAAUACUGUGAAGUGGAGCCAAUCUUCAAAACACCUCUCAGUUCGGAUUGUAGGCUGCAACUCGCCUGCAUGAAGCUGGAAUCGCUAGUAAUCGCAAAUCAGCCAUGUUGCGGUGAAUACGUUCCCGGGUCUUGUACUCACCGCCCGUCACACCAUGGGAGUUGUGUUUGCCUUAAGUCAGGAUGCUAAAUUGGCUACUGCCCACGGCACACACAGCGACUGGGGUGAAGUCGUAACAAGGUAACCGUAG
This 1445-nucleotide ribosomal RNA is filed under the name Helicobacter pylori. Its description in RNAcentral is "16S ribosomal RNA". It matches the Rfam family "Bacterial small subunit ribosomal RNA". Lineage: Bacteria; Pseudomonadati; Campylobacterota; Epsilonproteobacteria; Campylobacterales; Helicobacteraceae. The record is from RNAcentral.